Molecule: unclassified non-coding RNA, 362 nt
Filed under: uncultured bacterium
Lineage: Bacteria
Description: contains 16S-23S intergenic spacer region
Source: RNAcentral
UCCCAGUUACCCGGGCAGUCUCGUGUGAAAAUAUAACACACGACAAGGGUUUCGCUCGUUGCGGGACUUAACCCAACAUCUCACGACACGAGCUUACGACGGCCAUGCAGCACCUGUCACUGCGCUCCCGAAGGCACUCUCACCUUUCGGCAAGAUUCGCAGGAUGUCAAGCCUCGGUAAGGUUUUUCGCUUAGCAUCGAAUUAAACCACAUACUCCACUGCUUGUGCGGCUCCCCGUCAAUUCCUUUGAGUUUUAAACUUGCGUUCGUACUCCCCAGGCGGGAUGCUUAUCGCGUUAGCUUCUUGGCACAAAGGGUCGAGACCCCAUACCAAUAGCAUCCAUCGUUUACGGCGUGGACUAC